CAAUAGCGUAUAUUAAAGUUGUUGCAGUUAAAAAGCUCGUAGUUGGAUGUCUGCUCGGUUAUGCCGGUCGGCGCUCAGCGUCUGUACACGGUUAUUUCCGGGCAUUUACUAGGGAUCACGACUGCACUUGACUGUGUGGCGUGCUACUUAGUUCCGUUACUUUGAGAAAAUUAGUGUGUUUCAAGCAGGCCUACGCCUUGAAUACUGCAGCAUGGAAUAAUAUUUUAAGGCUUUGAUCUUAUUUAUUGGUUUUGAAGACCAAAGCAAGGAUUAAUAGGGACGGUUGGGGGCGUUCGUAUUUGAUUGUCAGAGGUGAAAUUCUUGGAUUUAUCAAAGACGAACAACUGCGAAAGCAUUCGCCAAAGAUGUUUUCAUUAA
This 378-nucleotide ribosomal RNA is filed under the name uncultured eukaryote. Its description in RNAcentral is "partial 18S ribosomal RNA". It matches the Rfam family "Eukaryotic small subunit ribosomal RNA", at positions 592 to 976 of the family's 1831-position model. The record is from RNAcentral.